This is a long non-coding RNA of Bos taurus (domestic cattle), 1919 nucleotides long. The record is from Ensembl. NCBI's taxonomy places the organism in Eukaryota, Metazoa, Chordata, Mammalia, Artiodactyla, Bovidae.
CCAGACUGCAGCAUCCAGAAGCUGGCUGACAGCGGGCAGACCAGCAUGGAAAUGGACAGAGCAGGGAUCUGAAGUCCUGUUCUGGCUUCACCAUUAGUGGGUCUGUGAACUUCUGUCUACCCCUCAUCCACUGAACCAGUUUCCUUGUUUGUAAAUUCAGGCCCUCGACUCCCCUAGCAAGAGACCCUGAUGUUGACAGCUAUAAAUCCUUCUCUCAAGAGUGGCUGCCCUGCUUCAUGAGUGGCCAACAAGAAGCCUCUCAUCUCAGCAUCUGCUGGCCCCACAGUUUAGAGGGACUCUCUUGGCUUCUCUGUCUGGAACUCUCGGACCUGGGGCCACACACCUCUGCAGGCUGGCUCACCUCAAGAGAUCAUCAUUGCAGUUUGGCUGCCUCUGCUGCUGUGUGAUCGUCCUAAUAACACUGCACAAGUGAAGAUACCCAGUCUAGAAGUCCAUUGUGAUAUCUUCCAAGGACUUGCAGAAACAUUAUGUUGAGUUUUCCCUUCCUUUGUGGACACUGUCUCCUGAGAGAUGGACAAAGAGCCUCUCUCCAGGACUUCCUACCCUCAGUGGCCCUUGGCUUCCACUCAGCCGUCCAGCAAAGCCCCUAGCAUCUAGAAGGCUAGAGGCCCACAGGUGGGCCAAGAAGAUUUUCCAGCCCAUUUCUUCCAUUCCUGGAAACAUACUUCGUCGCAGUUUGCACUAAGGGUCUAUGAAUGCGGGCUUAGAUUCCCAUCGGGGAGAGGACUUGGAGCUUGAGAAGGAGCAAGAAUGAACCAUUUUCAGAGAAUCUCAACUGUGAAAGGACACCUUUCUCAUCCAUGCAGAUGCUACCCAGACCUUAUCCGUGCACCCCACUCAUGGAGAAAGAUAGAGUCAUACACCAAGAAAGGCUUCCCUGGUGGCUCAGAUGGUAAAGAAUCUGCCUGCAAUGCAGGAGAUCCAGGUUCGAUGCAUGGAUCAGGAAGAUCCCCUGGAGAAGGGAAUGGCAACCCACUCCAGAAUUCUUGCGUGGAGAAUUCCAUGGACAGAGGAGCAUGGCUGGCUACAGUCCAUGGGUUCUCAAAGAGUCGGACACGACUGAUGACUAACAUUGUAUACCAGGAAGCCUAACUGUACUGAUAAAUUGCCUAGAUGCACUAGCCAGAUUCAUGGAGCUGACAAGGCAGUUUCUUUCUUUUUCUUUUGUUCUGUUCAAUUGCUUUGCAUCUCAAUUUAUACUGAAAUAUGGGUAGAUACACCUGAGUUCCAAGAGUCCCAGUGUCCUGCUCAGGAAAUGUUGUAGAAAAACAAAACAGACACUGUAAAUAUUCUCUCCAAAGCCCAGCGCUGAGAAACAAAUUACCUGUGCAGAGAAAACUGCAAAUAGAUGCUGCUUAUCCUGUCAAUAUGCUUCCUAGACUGAUUUUUGUUUUGCAUUAUGCUUUUCAUAAAAUGCAUCCUAAAAAGAUUUUCACAAUGAAGCAUGUAAAUGUUGUAAGGACUGCAGAGAGAGGAAAAUAACAAGAGAUAGGGACAAAGAGAAAAAUCUGAACCAAAGAUUUUGGAAAGAAGGGUUAUUGGGGACAAAUAGAACAUUUAAAAGUGGGUCCUAUUUAAUUAAAUAAUCAGAGAAGUAACUCAAGACAAGUAAACUGGCUUUCUUCUCCUUUCUGGACAUUUCUCGUCUUGAAUUAUUUCUCCCCUGGGUAAGACAGCCAGGGUUUGAGUCUUGGCUCCCUCACAUGUUAUCUGUGACCUUGGGUGAUUUAUUUUACCUCCGUAAGAUUCAGCCUCAUUAUCUGUAAAAUAAAAGAUAAUUACAGGGACGUCUCUAGUGAUCCAGUGGUUAAGCCUUUGCCUUCCAAUACAGAGGGUACAGGUUCCAUCCCUGGAUGGGGUGCUAAGAUCUCACAUGCCUUGCAGCCAAAAACCAAAAC